This 18-nucleotide small nuclear RNA is filed under the name Arabidopsis thaliana (thale cress). RNAcentral's name for it is "snRNA_13056". The record is from RNAcentral. Lineage: Eukaryota; Viridiplantae; Streptophyta; Magnoliopsida; Brassicales; Brassicaceae.
GCCUGGCUCCCUGUAUGC